Etheostoma spectabile (orangethroat darter) is the source of this 206-nucleotide long non-coding RNA. RefSeq lists it as uncharacterized. The transcript is spliced from 4 exons. Lineage: Eukaryota; Metazoa; Chordata; Actinopteri; Perciformes; Percidae. The record is from RefSeq and is a predicted model, not a curated record.
AAGACUCUACGUUAAACGGUUCAAAUGUUAGGAAAUGGGGCGUGGCUUAACAAUAGGGGGCGGGUCAAACAUCACUAAUGAAAAUGGAACUCUCUGCCGAGUUCAUCGAUACCUCACACAAGACUGUACCUAUAACGGUUCAAUUGUUAUGAAAGUGGGCGUGGCCUGAGUGCGUGGGCGUGGUCAAAUUAUAGGGGCCGGCUCAG